AGGAGUGUAGCUCAAUUGGUAGAGCACCGGUCUCCAAAACCGGGGGUUAGGGGUUCGAUUCCUCUCACUCCUGCCA
Molecule: transfer RNA, 76 nt
Filed under: Rickettsiales bacterium
Lineage: Bacteria; Pseudomonadati; Pseudomonadota; Alphaproteobacteria; Rickettsiales
Description: tRNA-Trp
Rfam family: tRNA
About the family: Transfer RNA (tRNA) molecules are approximately 80 nucleotides in length. Their secondary structure includes four short double-helical elements and three loops (D, anti-codon, and T loops). Further hydrogen bonds mediate the characteristic L-shaped molecular structure. tRNAs have two regions of fundamental functional importance: the anti-codon, which is responsible for specific mRNA codon recognition, and the 3' end, to which the tRNAs corresponding amino acid is attached (by aminoacyl-tRNA synthetases). tRNAs cope with the degeneracy of the genetic code in two manners: having more than one tRNA (with a specific anti-codon) for a particular amino acid; and 'wobble' base-pairing, i.e. permitting non-standard base-pairing at the 3rd anti-codon position.
Source: RNAcentral